AAAUUUGGUCUCAAAUGGGAUAAGAACCCAAAACCAUUGCUUUGAGGCAGUGAAUGGCUUGUAUAAAGUUAUUUUGGGUUAGAAUAUGUUAUAAUACAAUGAAUUUGAUUGAUUACAAGUGCUAGACAUGCAUGAAGAAUGUUUAGAAGUGAGAAGAAAGACUUGUUGAAAUUUGGUCUCAAAUGGGAUAAGAACCCAAAACCAUUGCUUCAAAUCUUACAUAGAAGUGAGAAGAAAGACUUGUUGAAAUUUGGUCUCAAAUGGGAUAAGAACACAAAACCAUUGCUUUGAGGCAGUGAAUGGCUUGUAUAAACUUAUUUUGGUUAAAAUAUGUUAUAAUACAAUGAAUGUGAUUUGAUUACAAGUGCUAGAGAUGCAUAAAGAAUGUUUAGAAGUUAGAAGAAAGACCUAUCGAUAUUUGAUCCCAAAUUGGAUAAGAACCACCAAAACCAUUGCUUUGAGGCAGUGAAUGGCUUGUAUAAAGUUAUUUUGGGUUAGAAUAUGUUACUAAGUACAAUGAAAGUUGAUUGAUUACAAGUGCUAGACAUGCAUGAAGAAUGUUUAGAAGUGAGAAGAAAGACUUGUUGAAAUUUGGUCUCAAAUGGGAUAAGAACACAAAACCAUUGCUUUGAGGCAGUGAAUGGCUUGUAUAAAGUUAUUUUGGGUUAGAAUAUGUUAUAAUACAAUGAAUUUNNN
Molecule: long non-coding RNA, 696 nt
Filed under: Capsella rubella
Lineage: Eukaryota; Viridiplantae; Streptophyta; Magnoliopsida; Brassicales; Brassicaceae
Description: long non-coding RNA (CRUB_LNC000237)
Source: RNAcentral